UAAAGUUAGGUCUGUGGUUGAAAGUCGAUGCUAGUCGCAGGCAAAACGAUCCACUUAAGCUAGGCAAAGAUUCUAGUGAGCAUGGUGCGGUAUAGAAGUAAGUCCUACCAGGCAUUAAAGCUUGAGAGGGUUAGUAGUGAGAGGUUAAUUCCGGGUAGCGAAAUCUCCAGUAGGCGAGUGUGGGGGCAAAAACCAGUGUCAGCUAACUUUA
Clostridium baratii str. Sullivan is the source of this 211-nucleotide regulatory RNA element. It matches the Rfam family "raiA RNA". The record is from Rfam. NCBI's taxonomy places the organism in Bacteria, Bacillati, Bacillota, Clostridia, Eubacteriales, Clostridiaceae.